UGGGGAAUAUUGCACAAUGGGCGCAAGCCUGAUGCAGCCAUGCCGCGUGUAUGAAGAGGGCCUUCGGGUUGUAAAGUACUUUCAGCGGGGAGGAAGGCGAUAAGGUUAAUAACCUUGUCGAUUGACGUUACCCGCAGAAGAAGCACCGGCUAACUCCGUGCCAGCAGCCGCGGUAAUACGGAGGGUGCAAGCGUUAAUCGGAAUUACUGGGCGUAAAGCGCACGCAGGCGGUCUGUCAAGUCGGAUGUGAAAUCCCCGGGCUCAACCUGGGAACUGCAUUCGAAACUGGCAGGCUAGAGUCUUGUAGAGGGGGGUAGAAUUCCAGGUGUAGCGGUGAAAUGCGUAGAGAUCUGGAGGAAUACCGGUGGCGAAGGCGGCCCCCUGGACAAAGACUGACGCUCAGGUGCGAAAGCGUGGGGAGCAAACA
This 427-nucleotide ribosomal RNA is filed under the name uncultured bacterium. RNAcentral describes it as "partial 16S ribosomal RNA". It matches the Rfam family "Bacterial small subunit ribosomal RNA", at positions 355 to 774 of the family's 1533-position model. The record is from RNAcentral.